Molecule: ribosomal RNA, 470 nt
Filed under: uncultured organism
Description: partial 16S ribosomal RNA
Rfam family: Bacterial small subunit ribosomal RNA
Source: RNAcentral
ACUCCUGCGGGAGGCAGCAGUGAGGAAUAUUGGACAAUGGGUGGAAGCCUGAUCCAGCCAUCCCGCGUGCAGGAAGACGGCCCUAUGGGUUGUAAACUGCUUUUAUCUGGGGAUAAACCUACUUACGUGUAAGUAGCUGAAGGUACCAGAAGAAUAAGCACCGGCUAACUCCGUGCCAGCAGCCGCGGUAAUACGGAGGGUGCAAGCGUUAUCCGGAUUUAUUGGGUUUAAAGGGUCCGUAGGCGGACUGAUAAGUCAGUGGUGAAAUCCGACAGCUUAACUGUCGAACUGCCAUUGAUACUGUUAGUCUUGAGUAAGGUUGAAGUGGCUGGAAUAGGUAGUGUAGCGGUGAAAUGCAUAGAUAUUACUUAGAACACCAAUUGCGAAGGCAGGUCACUAAGUCUUAACUGACGCUGAUGGACGAAAGCGUGGGGAGCGAACAGGAUUAGAAACCCCGGUAGUCCCAUGAU